CAGUAGCCGCGGGAACACAGAGGGUGCGAGCGUUAAUCGGAUUUACUGGGCGUAAAGCGUGCGUAGGCGGCUUUUUAAGUCGGAUGUGAAAUCCCUGAGCUUAACUUAGGAAUUGCAUUCGAUACUGGGAAGCUAGAGUAUGGGAGAGGAUGGUAGAAUUCCAGGUGUAGCGGUGAAAUGCGUAGAGAUCUGGAGGAAUACCGAUGGCGAAGGCAGCCAUCUGGCCUAAUACUGACGCUGAGGUACGAAAGCGUGGGGAUCAAACAGGAUUAGAUACCCCUGUAGUCCCUGUCUCUUAUAC
RNAcentral lists this ribosomal RNA (301 nucleotides) under uncultured bacterium. Its description in RNAcentral is "partial 16S ribosomal RNA". It matches the Rfam family "Bacterial small subunit ribosomal RNA", at positions 509 to 807 of the family's 1533-position model. The record is from RNAcentral.